This 597-nucleotide long non-coding RNA is filed under the name Vitis vinifera (wine grape). RNAcentral's name for it is "long non-coding RNA (VVIN_LNC004027)". Lineage: Eukaryota; Viridiplantae; Streptophyta; Magnoliopsida; Vitales; Vitaceae. The record is from RNAcentral.
AUAAAAUCACCCUAGUAGAAGAAACCAAGCACUUUGCCACCAACAUUCUUUCUCCUAGCCUCCUCAUGAUCCAUGAUGCCAGCCGAAGUAGUCAGCACAAUGUAUCCAAACUGCAAUUUUUGGACCAUCAUCAAAGGUCAUCAAAUGAAACCACAUAUAUUGUUGGCAAAGGAAAUCUAGCCUGUAAUACACUAGUAUGCAGCUAAAAUAAUAACAGCAUAUGAAAAGACAUGUACAUUAUAUAUUGUUAGGUAGAAAGCAACCUAGGAGGCUAAAGUUAUCUAAUUCCAGCACAUUCUCAAUCACUUCAAAAUUCUAUGAAUAGCAAACUCAAUUGAUCCAGUGACGUUUAAGUUCCAAUUAUAUCUAAUGGGUAAAACCCAUCAGAAAACACCCGUUAGUGAGCUUGUGAUUACUCAGUGGUGACUGGAGCAGCAGUUUCAUGGAAGUAGAAUUAACAAGGAGGUUUCAUGCUAACCUGUCUUGAGGGGAGCAGCCUAGCAGUCCAUGGCUCAAUAUCUUUGACACCCACAUCAAAACGGGGACUGAUAACCCCACAUUUGUUUAGUCUUCCAUUCAGUUCAACAACAAUCUUUC